GCCGUUCAGCCUCUGUGGUUCAGCAGAGGUGGUUCAGUAAAGUCGCAUAUUUAUUUUGACAAAGAAACGUUUCGCCUUUUGGUCGUUUUGGAACGUUUUUUGAUAAAUAUACAUUAUUAUCAGAAUGUUUUCUGUUCUCUUUUGGUUCACGUCGUUUCUGAACGGAAUAUGUAAAGAUUCCGUUGAUUUCCCAACGGUAUAAUGAACACGUACAAACGUCUGUUACGACUGCAUGCUCACAUGCAUGUCACUAUUAUAUUAGUUUAACUAAUAUGUUUAUUUUGAUAUUUUCUAUAAUCUUUGCUUCGUAAAUGUAUAUGUACAGUUGUGGACAACGCAUGAGAACUAUGUUUUUCCGUACAACAUGUUACAGUAUUCUCAUAUUCUGUAUAGGAUGAUGAUGAUGCAACUCCAUCGCGACAAGAACGAAGGGCGAGUGAGAACUUAAACGUGGAGUCCAAGGAAGAGAAAGUGAGUUAGCUUACAAAGUUGU
Molecule: long non-coding RNA, 493 nt
Filed under: Paramuricea clavata
Lineage: Eukaryota; Metazoa; Cnidaria; Anthozoa; Malacalcyonacea; Plexauridae
Source: RNAcentral